RNAcentral lists this ribosomal RNA (253 nucleotides) under uncultured bacterium. RNAcentral describes it as "partial 16S ribosomal RNA". It matches the Rfam family "Bacterial small subunit ribosomal RNA", at positions 524 to 776 of the family's 1533-position model. The record is from RNAcentral.
UACGAGGGGGGCUAGCGUUGCUCGGAAUCACUGGGCGUAAAGGGUGCGUAGGCGGGGCUUUAAGUCAGGGGUGAAAUCCUGGAGCUCAACUCCAGAACUGCCUUUGAUACUGAGGAUCUUGAGUUCGGGAGAGGUGAGUGGAACUGCGAGUGUAGAGGUGAAAUUCGUAGAUAUUCGCAAGAACACCAGUGGCGAAGGCGGCUCACUGGCCCGAUACUGACGCUGAGGCACGAAAGCGUGGGGAGCAAACAGG